CUGCCCAUCAGAAGGGGAUAACACUUGGAACCAGGUGCUAAUACCGUAUAACACUAUUUUCCGCAUGGAAGAAAGUUGAAAGGCGCUUUUGCGUCACUGAUGGAUGGACCCGCGGUGCAUUAGCUAGUUGGUGAGGUAACGGCUCACCAAGGCCACGAUGCAUAGCCGACCUGAGAGGGUGAUCGGCCACACUGGGACUGAGACACGGCCCAGACUCCUACGGGAGGCAGCAGUAGGGAAUCUUCGGCAAUGGACGAAAGUCUGACCGAGCAACGCCGCGUGAGUGAAGAAGGUUUUCGGAUCGUAAAACUCUGUUGUUAGAGAAGAACAAGGAUGAGAGUAAAAUGUUCAUCCCUUGACGGUAUCUAACCAGAAAGCCACGGCUAACUACGUGCCAGCAGCCGCGGUAAUACGUAGGUGGCAAGCGUUGUCCGGAUUUAUUGGGCGUAAAGCGAGCGCAGGCGGUUUCUUAAGUCUGAUGUGAAAGCCCCCGGCUCAACCGGGGAGGGUCAUUGGAAACUGGGAGACUUGAGUGCAGAAGAGGAGAGUGGAAUUCCAUGUGUAGCGGUGAAAUGCGUAGAUAUAUGGAGGAACACCAGUGGCGAAGGCGGCUCUCUGGUCUGUAACUGACGCUGAGGCUCGAAAGCGUGGGGAGCGAACAGGAUUCGAUACCCUGGUAGUCCACGCCGUAAAC
RNAcentral lists this ribosomal RNA (694 nucleotides) under uncultured bacterium. Its description in RNAcentral is "bacterial SSU rRNA". It matches the Rfam family "Bacterial small subunit ribosomal RNA", at positions 126 to 807 of the family's 1533-position model. The record is from RNAcentral.